CUCAGAGAGACAUGUUCAGCUUCACUGGACUGAACCCUAAGCAGGUGCAGUACAUGAUUAAGGAGAAGCAUGUCUACCUGAUGGCCAGCGGUCGUAUCAACAUGUGUGGCCUCACCUCCAAGAACAUCGACUAUGUCGCAGAGUCCAUCCAUGAGACCGUGUCCAAGGUCCAGUAAGGCCCCGCCCUCCCUCCGCAUCCAGCUACUUUCUGCUUCCUGUCCACCACAGGAAGUACUGUUAAUUGUCACGUGUGGUCUCGUCAGGCACCCCCUUCUGUGACAACACACCCUUUCUCUAUAAGCAGUGCUUUAACCAUCUAUUGGUUGUCAAAUUUAGAAGAGCGAUGAUAUGACACGUGUUCACAGCAAUCAAUGUUAAUGAUCAACAGUAUAACUGGUUUCUGUCCAUCUUCUCUCCUCCUCAGAUUACUGAGACAUCUUUAAACAAUCUGAACGCAGACCUCUAGUCGAAGUAUUUCACUCUUCUGGCGAUCGUUAUGUUGCCUUUUAUUUAUUUUAUUGUGCCAUUUCCGGUUUUGAAAAUGUAUAAAAGAUGACUGUGUGCACUUUGGUUUUUAAAAAAAAAAAUGUUUCAGAGCACUUGAAAGUGAAGCAUUGCCAGAAGUUGAGUGAAAAGUUAGUGUAAAAUGAAUUGUACAUGCGAGCCCCCAGACCUCCUAUCUACAGACGACCACAACGCUUCUGAAAGUCUUUUCUUUACAACUGGUUCCAUUUAACAACAUUCUAGAACGUGUGAAAUGGUGCAUUGUGGAUCAAAUGCUCUGUGAUGUCAUGUGACAGGCUUGAAAGGUUCUUUACAGUUCAUGCAUGUGCCUAUAGGUCAAACGUUAACAGGAAAUGCCCUCUGAUAGGGUGAUAUAACCUUUUGAGCAGCUAUAUGCAGAUAUGUCCUAUAGGAAAAGCACAUACCACUACUGUGGUAACAGUUGAACCACAUAAAUGUCUGUGUCUUAGGUUCCGUGUUCGGCAUGUACUUGGUGUUAAGACUCUUACUCAUAAUAAUGCUGCUUAUGAAGGAUUGUUAACCACUGCCUUUAUCAGUGAUGUGUUUGUUUUGAUGUUUUGUUCACAGAACACAUACAGUUGGUCUUCCAACACACAGCCUCACGCCGUUAUAUUGACAUCCUGUCUGUGCAUUUCAUAAUAAUAAAUGAUGAAUCGUGUACUAAACUGAA
Long non-coding RNA from Oncorhynchus keta (chum salmon), 1195 nucleotides. RefSeq lists it as uncharacterized. NCBI's taxonomy places the organism in Eukaryota, Metazoa, Chordata, Actinopteri, Salmoniformes, Salmonidae. The record is from RefSeq and is a predicted model, not a curated record. The transcript has 2 exons.